This 489-nucleotide ribosomal RNA is filed under the name uncultured bacterium. RNAcentral's name for it is "bacterial SSU rRNA". It matches the Rfam family "Bacterial small subunit ribosomal RNA", at positions 28 to 509 of the family's 1533-position model. The record is from RNAcentral.
GACGAACGCUGGCGGCGUGGAUUAGGCAUGCAAGUCGGACGGUAGGGCUUUAUCGUAAGAUAGAGUUUGAGAGUGGCGAACGGGUGAGUAACACGUAGGAAUCUACCCUUAAGACGGGGACAACCCAGGGAAACUUGGGCUAAUACCGGAUGAGAGUGCGAGAGAUUGCAUUUAAAAGGAUGGCGAAAGUUGUCGCUUAGGGAUGAGCCUGCGGUCUAUUAGUUAGUUGGUGAGGUAAGAGCUCACCAAGGCGAUGAUAGAUAGGCGGCCUUAACGGGUGGUCGCCCACACUGGGAUUGAGAUACGGCCCAGACUCCUACGGGAGGCAGCAGUGAGGAAUAUUGGACAAUGGGCGCAAGCCUGAUCCAGCCAUGCCGCGUGCAGGAUGAAGCAUCUAUGGUGUGUAAACUGCUUUUGUACGAGAAGAAACACUGCAACGUGUUGCAGCUUGACGGUAUCGUAAGAAUAAGGAUCGGCUAACUCCGUGCC